Molecule: ribosomal RNA, 2863 nt
Filed under: Enterobacter hormaechei
Lineage: Bacteria; Pseudomonadati; Pseudomonadota; Gammaproteobacteria; Enterobacterales; Enterobacteriaceae
Description: 23S ribosomal RNA
Rfam family: Bacterial large subunit ribosomal RNA
Source: RNAcentral
UUAAGCGACUAAGCGUACACGGUGGAUGCCCUGGCAGUCAGAGGCGAUGAAGGACGUGCUAAUCUGCGAAAAGCGCCGGCGAGGUGAUAUGAACCCUUGACCCGGCGAUGUCCGAAUGGGGAAACCCAGUGCAAUCCGUUGCACUAUCGUUAACUGAAUACAUAGGUUAACGAGGCGAACCGGGGGAACUGAAACAUCUAAGUACCCCGAGGAAAAGAAAUCAACCGAGAUUCCCCCAGUAGCGGCGAGCGAACGGGGAGCAGCCCGGAGUCUGAAUCAGCUUGUGUGUUAGUGGAACGGUCUGGAAAGUCCGACGGUACAGGGUGAUAGUCCCGUACACGAAAGCACACUUGCUGUGAACUCGAAGAGUAGGGCGGGACACGUGGUAUCCUGUCUGAAUAUGGGGGGACCAUCCUCCAAGGCUAAAUACUCCUGACUGACCGAUAGUGAACCAGUACCGUGAGGGAAAGGCGAAAAGAACCCCGGCGAGGGGAGUGAAAAAGAACCUGAAACCGUGUACGUACAAGCAGUGGGAGCCUCUUUAUGGGGUGACUGCGUACCUUUUGUAUAAUGGGUCAGCGACUUAUAUUCUGUAGCAAGGUUAACCGUAUAGGGGAGCCGAAGGGAAACCGAGUCUUAACUGGGCGUUAAGUUGCAGGGUAUAGACCCGAAACCCGGUGAUCUAGCCAUGGGCAGGUUGAAGGUUGGGUAACACUAACUGGAGGACCGAACCGACUAAUGUUGAAAAAUUAGCGGAUGACCUGUGGCUGGGGGUGAAAGGCCAAUCAAACCGGGAGAUAGCUGGUUCUCCCCGAAAGCUAUUUAGGUAGCGCCUCGUGAACUCAUCUUCGGGGGUAGAGCACUGUUUCGGCUAGGGGGCCAUCCCGGCUUACCAACCCGAUGCAAACUACGAAUACCGAAGAAUGUUAUCACGGGAGACACACGGCGGGUGCUAACGUCCGUCGUGAAGAGGGAAACAACCCAGACCGCCAGCUAAGGUCCCAAAGUCAUGGUUAAGUGGGAAACGAUGUGGGAAGGCACAGACAGCCAGGAUGUUGGCUUAGAAGCAGCCAUCAUUUAAAGAAAGCGUAAUAGCUCACUGGUCGAGUCGGCCUGCGCGGAAGAUGUAACGGGGCUAAACCAUGCACCGAAGCUGCGGCAGCGACGCUUAUGCGUUGUUGGGUAGGGGAGCGUUCUGUAAGCCGUUGAAGGUGUGCUGUGAGGCAUGCUGGAGGUAUCAGAAGUGCGAAUGCUGACAUAAGUAACGAUAAAGCGGGUGAAAAGCCCGCUCGCCGGAAGACCAAGGGUUCCUGUCCAACGUUAAUCGGGGCAGGGUGAGUCGACCCCUAAGGCGAGGCCGAAAGGCGUAGUCGAUGGGAAACAGGUUAAUAUUCCUGUACUUGGUGUUACUGCGAAGGGGGGACGGAGAAGGCUAUGUCAGCCGGGCGACGGUUGUCCCGGUUUAAGCAUGUAGGCGGAGGUUCCAGGUAAAUCCGGUACCUUAUUAACGCUGAGGUGUGAUGACGAGGCACUACGGUGCUGAAGUGAUAAAUGCCCUGCUUCCAGGAAAAGCCUCUAAGCAUCAGGUAACACGAAAUCGUACCCCAAACCGACACAGGUGGUCAGGUAGAGAAUACCAAGGCGCUUGAGAGAACUCGGGUGAAGGAACUAGGCAAAAUGGUGCCGUAACUUCGGGAGAAGGCACGCUGAUGUGUAGGUGAAGUCCCUGCGGAUGGAGCUGAAAUCAGUCGAAGAUACCAGCUGGCUGCAACUGUUUAUUAAAAACACAGCACUGUGCAAACACGAAAGUGGACGUAUACGGUGUGACGCCUGCCCGGUGCCGGAAGGUUAAUUGAUGGGGUUAGCGGCAACGCGAAGCUCUUGAUCGAAGCCCCGGUAAACGGCGGCCGUAACUAUAACGGUCCUAAGGUAGCGAAAUUCCUUGUCGGGUAAGUUCCGACCUGCACGAAUGGCGUAAUGAUGGCCAGGCUGUCUCCACCCGAGACUCAGUGAAAUUGAACUCGCUGUGAAGAUGCAGUGUACCCGCGGCAAGACGGAAAGACCCCGUGAACCUUUACUAUAGCUUGACACUGAACACUGGUCCUUGAUGUGUAGGAUAGGUGGGAGGCUUUGAAGCGUGGACGCCAGUCUGCGUGGAGCCNGACCCGUAAUCCGGGUUGCGGACAGUGUCUGGUGGGUAGUUUGACUGGGGCGGUCUCCUCCCAAAGAGUAACGGAGGAGCACGAAGGUUGGCUAAUCCUGGUCGGACAUCAGGAGGUUAGUGCAAUGGCAUAAGCCAGCUUGACUGCGAGCGUGACGGCGCGAGCAGGUGCGAAAGCAGGUCAUAGUGAUCCGGUGGUUCUGAAUGGAAGGGCCAUCGCUCAACGGAUAAAAGGUACUCCGGGGAUAACAGGCUGAUACCGCCCAAGAGUUCAUAUCGACGGCGGUGUUUGGCACCUCGAUGUCGGCUCAUCACAUCCUGGGGCUGAAGUAGGUCCCAAGGGUAUGGCUGUUCGCCAUUUAAAGUGGUACGCGAGCUGGGUUUAGAACGUCGUGAGACAGUUCGGUCCCUAUCUGCCGUGGGCGCUGGAGAAUUGAGGGGGGCUGCUCCUAGUACGAGAGGACCGGAGUGGACGCAUCACUGGUGUUCGGGUUGUCAUGCCAAUGGCACUGCCCGGUAGCUAAAUGCGGAAGAGAUAAGUGCUGAAAGCAUCUAAGCACGAAACUUGCCCCGAGAUGAGUUCUCCCUGAGACUUUAAGUCUCCUGAAGGAACGUUGAAGACGACGACGUUGAUAGGUCGGGUGUGUAAGCGCAGCGAUGCGUUGAGCUAACCGAUACUAAUGAACCGUGAGGCUUAACCUU